GCCCUGUCGCUCUGCUCCUGUGCAGGCCCAGGAGUGGCCUCUGCUUGGCCCUGGAGCUGGGAACAUCUUUGACAGAACUGUUACGUUGGUCUAACGGGGCUUGGGACAAAUGCAGGUCACACAUGGGAAGUGUCCCCAGCCUGUCGCCUGUUCAUAUGCACUGCUGUUCUCACGUUGCUCCUCCCUCCCUGUUCCCAGCACUUGAAAUAAGGAGGGAGAGUGGCAGGUGCCGUGCUGGGUGCCCUGCGCUCCUGGUGCUGCCGUCCUGCCCUCCUCUCUGGCUCCAGCUGGCAGGGCUGGGACACUGGUCAGGACACUGCCCUUCCCAGCAGGAUGGAGCCAAGGGGACAGGAACCCACACGGACUCAGAAGUCACCUGAACUGCCGGGCGUGGUGACGCACGCCUGUGAUCCCAGCACUGGGGAGGCUGAGGCAGGAGGAUCACUGUGAGUUUGAGACCAGCCUGGGCUUCAUAGCUCCAGGUCAAUCUCAACUACACAGUGAGAUUCUGUCUCAAAAAAAACACCAAAAACAAAAACCACCACUCUGAGCAAAGUUUCUCACAUUGCUACUCCUAUUUAAAUACAAACGUGGGAGCAGAGAGCAUGUUUUUUGUUCUAUACAAAAUCUGGCGGACUGGCUAUUCACAUUUGAAUUACUGGGUGACAUACAUGUUCAUGGUAACUACACUCAUAUUUGUCUUCUGUAUCAGUGUUGUGGAUGGUUUUCAUGGAUUUCAAAAUUUUCCUGUGCUUCUUUGAGCCACAAGUGUCAGGUCGGCAGUGGCAACAGAAGGCAGCCUCUCUGUGACCUGCGUUUCGUCCCCCUUUCCUCUGCUGCUCCAGUGCCUCCUCCCAGCCUGUGCCUGCUGCUGCUUUUUGCUUCUUAGAGGUGAAGGGCGUAAGAAGAGACUCGAGUCUCCCCCGUCCCCAUCCUCCCAUGCAUGCGCGCUCCAGCUGGGAAGUUCGCAGGGCCAAGACCGGCUGUGUCUCCUCUUUGUGCCAAUCCCUGCCCAUUUGGGAGGCUGAACUUCUCGUAGAAGUUUUGCCCAAGGCUCUUCCCUGUUGGCUUUCGCAUGCCUUCUGCUCCCAAGUCCUUGGCUGCCUCUGCACAGACCCGGCACUCUGUUCCUGUUUCCUGUGGUUGUGCUUCAUCGCCCAGCCUUACCAAUGUGUAAACAAAUCGCAAAAUCCCCAUGGCCAAAAACCUGCCCAUGUUACUCCAGCUGGAAAGAAUUGUGCUGGACCAAGAUUUAGACCACAUCCAGUGGAAACCCUGACCAACACUGCUGUAACGACAGCCUCGCAUCACAAAUCUAUCUGUGUGGACUUUUCCAUGGGAUUUUCCAUGCAGAGUCCCUGCUGCGAGAUGUUAACUCAGACAGUGCGACAGCUUUGGGGCAGAGCCUGCAGCGCUGCGGCUCCUGGUUAGCGACCUGUGUUGACUUUGGGGCUCAGGGAGACAUCGGUCAGGCUGAUUCCUGAGGGUCUGGGGCUGAGGGCUUGGCUUGGGUGGUGCCAGAGCUUGAAUCACCUCCCACACUGCUACUGGGAGAAUGUUUCUUCUCUGACUUAUGGCUGCACUAAAGUGGGAGAGGUGUACAGGCCUGACGUGUUUUAGGGUGACCCCCACCCUGACUGGCUGGGGAUCGUUUGUGCACUGAACCCUCGCCUUCUGGGGCCAGGACAGCGGGUCAUCUUAAGUAGAAUGGAAAAUGGAAUCAAAUUCGAGGCAGUCUAUGCUAAAGAGAGGAAACCUGUCUGAGCUUUAAAAUAGAAUCCUC
Fukomys damarensis (Damara mole-rat) is the source of this 1783-nucleotide long non-coding RNA. NCBI's taxonomy places the organism in Eukaryota, Metazoa, Chordata, Mammalia, Rodentia, Bathyergidae. The record is from Ensembl.